This 1376-nucleotide ribosomal RNA is filed under the name Limosilactobacillus sp. RNAcentral describes it as "bacterial SSU rRNA". It matches the Rfam family "Bacterial small subunit ribosomal RNA", at positions 59 to 1392 of the family's 1533-position model. Lineage: Bacteria; Bacillati; Bacillota; Bacilli; Lactobacillales; Lactobacillaceae. The record is from RNAcentral.
CAGUCGAACGCGUUGGCCCAAUUGAUUGAUGGUGCUUGCACCUGAUUGAUUUUGGUCGCCAACGAGUGGCGGACGGGUGAGUAACACGUAGGUAACCUGCCCAGAAGCGGGGGACAACAUUUGGAAACAGAUGCUAAUACCGCAUAACAGCGUUGUUCGCAUGAACAACGCUUAAAAGAUGGCUUCUCGCUAUCACUUCUGGAUGGACCUGCGGUGCAUUAGCUUGUUGGUGGGGUAAUGGCCUACCAAGGCGAUGAUGCAUAGCCGAGUUGAGAGACUGAUCGGCCACAAUGGGACUGAGACACGGCCCAUACUCCUACGGGAGGCAGCAGUAGGGAAUCUUCCACAAUGGGCGCAAGCCUGAUGGAGCAACACCGCGUGAGUGAAGAAGGGUUUCGGCUCGUAAAGCUCUGUUGUUAAAGAAGAACACGUAUGAGAGUAACUGUUCAUACGUUGACGGUAUUUAACCAGAAAGUCACGGCUAACUACGUGCCAGCAGCCGCGGUAAUACGUAGGUGGCAAGCGUUAUCCGGAUUUAUUGGGCGUAAAGAGAGUGCAGGCGGUUUUCUAAGUCUGAUGUGAAAGCCUUCGGCUUAACCGGAGAAGUGCAUCGGAAACUGGAUAACUUGAGUGCAGAAGAGGGUAGUGGAACUCCAUGUGUAGCGGUGGAAUGCGUAGAUAUAUGGAAGAACACCAGUGGCGAAGGCGGCUACCUGGUCUGCAACUGACGCUGAGACUCGAAAGCAUGGGUAGCGAACAGGAUUAGAUACCCUGGUAGUCCAUGCCGUAAACGAUGAGUGCUAGGUGUUGGAGGGUUUCCGCCCUUCAGUGCCGGAGCUAACGCAUUAAGCACUCCGCCUGGGGAGUACGACCGCAAGGUUGAAACUCAAAGGAAUUGACGGGGGCCCGCACAAGCGGUGGAGCAUGUGGUUUAAUUCGAAGCUACGCGAAGAACCUUACCAGGUCUUGACAUCUUGCGCCAACCCUAGAGAUAGGGCGUUUCCUUCGGGAACGCAAUGACAGGUGGUGCAUGGUCGUCGUCAGCUCGUGUCGUGAGAUGUUGGGUUAAGUCCCGCAACGAGCGCAACCCUUGUUACUAGUUGCCAGCAUUAAGUUGGGCACUCUAGUGAGACUGCCGGUGACAAACCGGAGGAAGGUGGGGACGACGUCAGAUCAUCAUGCCCCUUAUGACCUGGGCUACACACGUGCUACAAUGGACGGUACAACGAGUCGCGAACUCGCGAGGGCAAGCAAAUCUCUUAAAACCGUUCUCAGUUCGGACUGCAGGCUGCAACUCGCCUGCACGAAGUCGGAAUCGCUAGUAAUCGCGGAUCAGCAUGCCGCGGUGAAUACGUUCCCGGGCCUUGUACACACCG